Molecule: ribosomal RNA, 493 nt
Filed under: uncultured bacterium
Lineage: Bacteria
Description: partial 16S ribosomal RNA
Rfam family: Bacterial small subunit ribosomal RNA
Source: RNAcentral
GAGUGAACGCUGGCGGUAGGCCUAACACAUGCAAGUCGAACGGCAGCACAGUAAGAGCUUGCUCUUACGGGUGGCGAGUGGCGGACGGGUGCGGAAUACAUCGGAAUCUACUUUUUCGGGGGGGAUAACGUAGGGAAACUUACGCUAAUACCGCAUACGACCUACGGGUGAAAGCAGGGGAUCUUCGGACCUUGCGCGAUUGAAUGAGCCGAUGUCGGAUUAGCUAGUUGGCGGGGUAAAGGCCCACCAAGGCGACGAUCCGUAGCUGGUCUGAGAGGAUGAUCAGCCACACUGGAACUGAGACACGGUCCAGACUCCUACGGGAGGCAGCAGUGGGGAAUAUUGGACAAUGGGCGCAAGCCUGAUCCAGCCAUACCGCGUGGGUGAAGAAGGCCUUCGGGUUGUAAAGCCCUUUUGUUGGGAAAGAAAAGCAGCAGGUUAAUACCCCGCUGUUCUGACGGUACCCAAAGAAUAAGCACCGGCUAACUUCGUG